AGAAGGCCCUGAUGUA
This 16-nucleotide ribosomal RNA is filed under the name Perkinsus mediterraneus. RNAcentral describes it as "partial large subunit ribosomal RNA". Lineage: Eukaryota; Perkinsozoa; Perkinsida; Perkinsidae. The record is from RNAcentral.